GGGAUUCGAACGGCAGGCGGGAAGUGCUCUAGCAGGGGAGUCUGACCUUGUGAGGGAAUACCUGUGUCCCCCCUUUUUUCCCCUUUUUACCCAAUAAAACCCUGCCUUACUCACCCUUUAAAUCAUCUGCGAGCCUGAAUUUUCAUGGCCGUGGGACGGACAAGAACUUUAUCUUCAGCUGAACUAAGAAAAAGUCCUGCAACAUUUUUGGCGCGCAAUGUGGGGGCACCAGAAGCGGAAGUUUCUAGUGUAAAGGAAGCCCUAUGGAUGUUCUGUGAUCACCCACUCUCACAUCCAUAAUGGGUCAAGUGAGCCAAGAGAACUGACUCUGAGAAGGCGUUCCAAGCUCUUUGUGCAAUGGUGUUUAAAAUGCAAGAUUCCUGUCUGAGAGAGAAAUGACUUGAAGAGCGUUAAUGCAAACCCCCGUUCUGCUCUUCAAGCAGCUGUGUGCCUGGCAGACCCCAUAGGCAGAGAAGGGACUUGCAUGGGCCAUGAUGAUACAUAUUCAGCAGUGAAGAAGACUUGAUUCUGCACCUUGCCGGUUACAGCUGCCAGAUUGUGAGUGAUUGAUAGAGAACUUUGUUAAUGAUGUGGAAUUCACUUCUGGCAUGCUCUGCCCAAAUACGUAUGCAAUAUAUUAUUAGUGCCCUCAACAACAGGCCUGUCCAGAUGUGAUUUAAUUCAAAGCCUGAUUACCUUUUUCUCUUUUUACUCUUAUAAUUGGAAUGUUGUUGAUCAGAUUCUGCUUCUAAUAAAAAUGGCAAAGCACGCA
This 772-nucleotide long non-coding RNA is filed under the name Homo sapiens (human). RNAcentral's name for it is "HSALNT0393902". Lineage: Eukaryota; Metazoa; Chordata; Mammalia; Primates; Hominidae. The record is from RNAcentral.